ACUAAAACAAAAUAGGUAAUACUGCCCUACCAAAAAAACCGACAUUUAAUGGCGGCAUUUAAUCUUAUUAGAGGAACAUGUUAUUUAAUCGACAAUACACGCUUAAUUUCACUCUAAUUAAAAAUUCUAUAUACCGCCAUAGUAAGAAUUUAUAUAAAUAUAUAUUCAAUAAAAAAAUCUUUUAAAGUAGGUAAAGGUGUAAACCAUAUUUAAGAUAUAAAUGUGUUACAUUAAAAAUAAUUUAAAGAAAAUAACAUAAAUUUUAUUCUAAAAAGGAUUUAAAAGUAAAUAGAAAAUAAUAUUUCCACUUGAAUAAGGAAAAAAAUGUGC
Molecule: ribosomal RNA, 330 nt
Filed under: Ero sp. GH1087
Lineage: Eukaryota; Metazoa; Arthropoda; Arachnida; Araneae; Mimetidae
Description: partial 12S ribosomal RNA
Source: RNAcentral